AUAAGUAUAGUGUGACUUAUAACUGCAGCAGCUGCUGUAGUGACUAGUGGUCGCGUCGCAUUGACGUUUAGCCCACCGCAGGAUAGGGUUGCUUGAACGUGGUGGUGUAUGUCGGUUAGUAUAACCGCUACCUGGGUCUAAAAAUCGUGUAGGUAUACUGCAGUGGUAUAUAUAAUAUAUUAUAGAGAAAACGAGAGAAAGAGAUGGCCGCAACGCAGUGACGGGGAAGUAGAGCUGCGCUGGUGCAUUACCUUGUAAGGUUUCGUUCUGUGUGGAUGGUUACCAAAAGGAAGUACCCAAGGAUUUCCACGGAUGACUGGCCGGCGCGCUGUUCGCCGUGUCCGAGGAAGGCGAACGAAUAAACUUUUCCUAAUUUGGUAUAUUCGUAAAAGGUUGAUGGUUUUAAUACGUUCUACAAUCGUUUACGACCAGACACUGUGGGCGAUCCGAGAAAACGUUUAUAUUCCGCGAUGGAAUAAUACGCAUUUGACCGUGGAACCGAAAUCUCGACGUACGUGAUAGGUCGGUUUACUGCUGUAUAAAUACAAUACUGUUGUCACAAUACGUAUUUUUUUGCGAUAAAACUCUUUCAAAACUCCAUUCGCAAACAAAUAUUCGGGAUAACGCCGUUUCACUGUAUAAUAAAUCAUAUAGCUGAUAAGUCUGAUGUUGUGUUUUCAGAGAGGGUUUAUAUCGAAGAUUAAAAUUCCGUGAUGUUGAACCGCCCACCACCGGUUGUCGCAGCUGUUGCCAGGAGGUGUCUUUUCCUGCAGGACGAUCGUCAACCAUUCGCAGCCUGCAACGAUGAUAACGCGGCUCUGGAAGUGGCUAUGACAAUUGAACGGGAGUUGCUGGCACAAAAACGAGAUCAAUGGAAUUUCGAUUUCCUCAACGGUACACCGGUGACGGAGGAAGAGCUUUGUAAUAAUAAUUGGCAAUGGGAUAUCAUUGUUACAUCAUAGCCGCAUCGAUAACGUCGACAAAUGUCGGCUACAACUCUACAAGUUUGAUGAUAAAUUUACUAUUGUUAAACAUUAUAAUAUGAUUAUAAAACUCUACGUUCAACUCUGAAUUGUAUAUAUACCUUUAGUCUCAUUUUUUUUUUAUAACACACACGAUGUACAUUAUGUAUAUAUAUAAGCAGUGAGAUUGCACGUGGUGAAAUAUACGCAUUAUACCUAUAUGCUUAUACAGUGAACGUAUAUUAAAUUGAUGUUUACACAA
Aphis gossypii (cotton aphid) is the source of this 1224-nucleotide long non-coding RNA. RefSeq lists it as uncharacterized. Lineage: Eukaryota; Metazoa; Arthropoda; Insecta; Hemiptera; Aphididae. The record is from RefSeq and is a predicted model, not a curated record. The transcript has 2 exons.